ACCGGAAUUGCGUUGAUUUUUGAUGUGGCAACAAUUCAUUUUGGCUCAUUAGUCGUGUAGCAUGCUGCCGGUGCUGCUGCUGCUGCUGCUGCUGCUGCUGCUGCUGCUGCUGCUGCUGCUGCUGCUGCUGCUGCUGCUGCUGCUGCUGCUAUCCAU
This 156-nucleotide small RNA is filed under the name Drosophila guanche. Lineage: Eukaryota; Metazoa; Arthropoda; Insecta; Diptera; Drosophilidae. The record is from RNAcentral.